CCAACUAAUAAAUAAAUUACAAUACAAUGAAAAAUAAAAUGUGGGCCUUGAAAACUGUGUACAAGAUGAAAUAAUUUCUCAAAAUGUCAAUUAAGGCAUAUAUGUCGAACGGAAUCAUAAUAAACAAUCAUCUAGUGCGAUUGAAAAACAUUAAAGAGAGAGAGAGAGAGAGAGAGAGAGAUUUACUCUUGACAAUUUGAAUAGGGUGUCAUAGAAAGAUGUUUGAGGAUAGUGGCUGUAAGUUCAAAGUCUUUUUUUUUUUAUUUGAGUGAGGAGAUGAAUAAGAUGUGAAUAAGUAGAAAGGAAGGAAGGGGGUGACUGUGAUAAAUGAUAUGCGAAAGCGCUAUGCUUUACACGUUCUCUUUCAGGACAUUACCCCUGCGCGUAAUCAGCCUUGCUCUUUAAUGGGCUUUCCAUUUUCUUUUAGCUUGGCAAUAUAUUCUUUCAUUGCCUCCUUUCUCUUUUUGCUGGCCAGAUUUUUUGCCGUUA
RNAcentral lists this long non-coding RNA (489 nucleotides) under Olea europaea subsp. europaea. Lineage: Eukaryota; Viridiplantae; Streptophyta; Magnoliopsida; Lamiales; Oleaceae. The record is from RNAcentral.